UUAAAAAUGUGUGUGCGUGGU
Molecule: non-coding RNA, 21 nt
Filed under: Caenorhabditis elegans
Lineage: Eukaryota; Metazoa; Nematoda; Chromadorea; Rhabditida; Rhabditidae
Source: RNAcentral